This 433-nucleotide ribosomal RNA is filed under the name uncultured bacterium. RNAcentral's name for it is "partial 16S ribosomal RNA". It matches the Rfam family "Bacterial small subunit ribosomal RNA", at positions 29 to 507 of the family's 1533-position model. The record is from RNAcentral.
AACGAACGCUGGCGGCAUGCCUAACACAUGCAAGUCGAACGAGACCUUCGGGUCUAGUGGCGCACGGGUGCGUAACGCGUGGGAACCUGCCCUUAGGUUCGGAAUAACUCCCCGAAAGGGGUGCUAAUACCGGAUAAUGUCUUCGGACCAAAGAUUUAUCGCCUUUGGAUGGGCCCGCGUUGGAUUAGCUAGUUGGUAGGGUAAAAGCCUACCAAGGCGACGAUCCAUAGUUGGUCUGAGAGGAUGAUCAGCCACACUGGGACUGAGACACGGCCCAGACUCCUACGGGAAGCAGCAGUGGGGAAUAUUGGACAAUGGGCGAAAGCCUGAUCCAGCAAUGCCGCGUGAGUGAUGAAGGCCUUAGGGUUGUAAAGCUCUUUUACCCGGGAUGAUAAUGACAGUACCGGGAGAAUAAGCGCCGGCUAACUCCGUG